AGAGUUUGAUCAUGGCUCAGGACGAACGCUGGCGGUGUGCCUCACACAUGCAAGUCGAACGGAGUAGCAAUACUCAGUGGCGGACGGGUGAGUAACACGUGGGAAUCUGCCUUUGAGUGGGGGAUAACUGGCCGAAAGGCUAGCUAAUACCCCAUACGUCGCAAGAUAAAAGGAGCAAUCCGCUCGAAGAUGAGCCCGCGUCCGAUUAGCUAGUUGGUAAGGUAACGGCUUACCAAGGCUUCGAUCGGUAGCUGGUCUGAGAGGAUGAUCAGCCACAAUGGGACUGAGACACGGCCCAUACUCCUACGGGAGGCAGCAGUGGGGAAUUUUACACAAUGGGGGAAACCCUGAUGUAGCGACACCGCGUGAGCGAAGAAGCCUUUCGGGGUGUAAAGCUCUGUCAGCAGGGACGAAAAAAAUGACGGUACCUGCAGAGGAAGCAUCGGCUAACUACGUGCCAGCAGCCGCGGUAAGACGUAGGAUGCAAGCGUUGUCCGGAUUUAUUGGGCGUAAAGAGUUCGUAGGUGGUUUGUUAAGUCUGGUGUAAAAGGCUGGGGCUCAACCCUGGUACAGCACUGGAUACUGGCAGACUAGAGUGCAGUAGAGGCAAGCGGAAUUCCCAGUGUAGCGGUGAAAUGCGUAGAUAUUGGGAAGAACACCGGUGGCGUAAGCGGCUUGCUGGGCUGUUACUGACGCUGAGGAACGAAAGCUAGGGGAGCAAAUGGGAUUAGAUACCCUAGUAGUCC
RNAcentral lists this ribosomal RNA (746 nucleotides) under uncultured bacterium. Its description in RNAcentral is "bacterial SSU rRNA". It matches the Rfam family "Bacterial small subunit ribosomal RNA", at positions 8 to 796 of the family's 1533-position model. The record is from RNAcentral.